UUUGCGCUGGACACACAAUGACGUUCUUUUACCCAGUUGACACGUCAUAGUUUAACCAUUGCGCCAGAUUAAGUGUAAAUCGAAAAAGUUAUUGCUUUCGAUUGAGCCAACAGGGCCGUAAAGAUUCAAGCUCAUCUUUGUACGGUAGUAAGCAGCUCGCACAAG
This is a small nucleolar RNA of Drosophila grimshawi, 165 nucleotides long. The record is from Rfam. NCBI's taxonomy places the organism in Eukaryota, Metazoa, Arthropoda, Insecta, Diptera, Drosophilidae.